This 253-nucleotide ribosomal RNA is filed under the name uncultured bacterium. Its description in RNAcentral is "partial 16S ribosomal RNA". It matches the Rfam family "Bacterial small subunit ribosomal RNA", at positions 524 to 776 of the family's 1533-position model. The record is from RNAcentral.
UACGUAGGUGGCAAGCGUUGUCCGGAUUUACUGGGCGUAAAGGGCGUGCAGGCGGUCUGUUAAGUUCAGGGUGAAAGCUCCCGGCUCAACUGGGAGAGGUCCUUGGAUACUGGCAGACUUGAGGGAGGUAGAGGAGAGUGGAAUUCCCGGUGUAGUGGUGAUAUGCGUAGAUAUCGGGAGGAACACCAGUGGCGAAGGCGGUUGCCUGGAGCUUUGCUGACGCUGAGGCGCGAAAGCGUGGGGAGCGAUCCGG